RNAcentral lists this ribosomal RNA (253 nucleotides) under Roseburia intestinalis L1-82. RNAcentral's name for it is "partial 16S ribosomal RNA". It matches the Rfam family "Bacterial small subunit ribosomal RNA", at positions 524 to 776 of the family's 1533-position model. Lineage: Bacteria; Bacillati; Bacillota; Clostridia; Lachnospirales; Lachnospiraceae. The record is from RNAcentral.
UACGUAUGGUGCAAGCGUUAUCCGGAUUUACUGGGUGUAAAGGGAGCGCAGGCGGUACGGCAAGUCUGAUGUGAAAGCCCGGGGCUCAACCCUGGUACUGCAUUGGAAACUGUCGGACUAGAGUGUCGGAGGGGUAAGUGGAAUUCCUAGUGUAGCGGUGAAAUGCGUAGAUAUUAGGAGGAACACCAGUGGCGAAGGCGGCUUACUGGACGAUUACUGACGCUGAGGCUCGAAAGCGUGGGGAGCAAACAGG